ACGAAAGGCGUAACGAUUUGGGCACUGUCUCAACAACAGACUCGGUGAAAUUGUAAUUCCGGUGAAGAUGCCGGAUACCUGCGACAGGACGGAAAGACCCCAUGGAGCUUUACUGUAGCUUGACAUUGGGUCUUGGUACUACAUGUACAGGAUAGGUGGGAGGCUUUGAAACCAGGACGCCAGUUUUGGCGGAGCCAUCCUUGGGAUACCACCCUUGUAGUACUGGGACUCUAACCAUAGGCCAUGAAUCUGGUCUUGGGACACUGUCAGGUGGGCAGUUUGACUGGGGCGGUCGCCUCCCAAAAGGUAACGGAGGCGCUCAAAGGUUCUCUCAGUACGGUCGGAAAUCGUACGUAGAGUGUAAAGGCAAAAGAGAGCUUGAUUGCAAGACAUACAGGUCGAGCAAGGAUGAAAAUCGGACUUAGUGAUCCGGUGGUUCUGCGUGGAAGGGCCAUCGCUCAACGGAUAAAAGCUACCCUGGGGAUAACAGGCUUAUCUCCCCCAAGAGUCCACAUCGACGGGGAGGUUUGGCACCUCGAUGUCGGCUCAUCACAUCCUGGGGCUGUAGUAGGUCCCAAGGGUUGGGCUGUUCGCCCAUUAAAGUGGUACGCG
Molecule: ribosomal RNA, 612 nt
Filed under: Clostridioides difficile
Lineage: Bacteria; Bacillati; Bacillota; Clostridia; Peptostreptococcales; Peptostreptococcaceae
Description: partial 23S ribosomal RNA
Rfam family: Bacterial large subunit ribosomal RNA
Source: RNAcentral